Molecule: transfer RNA, 82 nt
Filed under: Staphylococcus aureus
Lineage: Bacteria; Bacillati; Bacillota; Bacilli; Caryophanales; Staphylococcaceae
Description: tRNA-Leu
Source: RNAcentral
GAGGGGGAGGCGGAAUUGGCAGACGCACUAGACUUAGGAUCUUGCGGCUUACGGCGUGGGGGGGCGAAUCCCCUCACACGCA